Molecule: long non-coding RNA, 1256 nt
Filed under: Homo sapiens (human)
Lineage: Eukaryota; Metazoa; Chordata; Mammalia; Primates; Hominidae
Description: long non-coding RNA NONHSAT194648.1
Source: RNAcentral
AGGUGUGUGGAAUGGUGCAUGCAUUUAGAAAUCAGGCACGACGCGCAGGUCGACGAAGGCACCACCCAGGAGUGGGUGGACCAGGUGCCCCCUGGAGACGAGAAACCCUCGAGGAAGGGGGCACGAACGUAGAGGUCAGGCUAGGGCUGACGAUGCUGGCUAAGCGGGGGCGCACGUCUGGGAAGUCGUCGUCGUAGUCACCGAUGUCCGUGACCUUCCAGAGGCUGGUUAGCCGGAUAGAAUGCCAGGCUGGUCUCAAACUCUCGGUCUCAAGCUCCUGGGCUCAAGAGAUCCUCCCAUCUGGGCCUCCCAAAGUUCUUAGGAUUACAGACGUGAGCUACUGUGCCUGGCUAGGGAAUAUUUUUGAAAGUAGAGUUCUUGCAGGCUAAAGGAGCAGGCAGCACAGAUGAGAGGAGACAUCUGAGUUGCUUUAAAAGGAAGGGCAAAAUGUGGUGACCAGAGAGGAAAGUGAAAAGCUUUCCAGCAGGCUCACGGCAGGAAAGGAGGGUCAGGACAGGGAACUAUGUGUACAGAUAUUGAGGUACAAAUAAGGUAAUCCACCCGCCUUGGCCUCCCAAAGUGCUGGGAUUACAGGUGUGAGCCACCAUGCCCAGCCAGAAACUGCCACUUUUAAACCAUCAGAUCUCAUUGAGAACUCCCUCACUAUCACGAGAACCGCAUGAGGGAAACCACCCCCAUGAUCUGAUCACCUCCCACCAGGUCCUGCCCUCAACAUGUGGGGAUUACAAUUCAAGAUGAGAUUUGGGUCAGGAAACAGAGCCAAACCAUAUCAAGAGGCUCUGGUAACCACUGUUCUACUCAAUACUUCUAUGAGGUGAACUUCUUUGGAUUCCACAUAUGAUCAAGAUCAUGAGGGGUGAUGAACAUGAUCUAGAAUUGAUUGUGGUGUUCUUACACAUCUCUGUGAACAUACUAAACACCACUGAAUGGUACACUUCAAGUGGGUGAAUUGUAUGGAAGGAGGAGCAAGUCUUCUUUGUCAUGCUAUUAAGAAAAUACCCAGAGUCACAGCACCAUGAUCUCCUUGUGAAGCAGAACAAGUAAUAUAAAACUGAUCUAAAGAGGCCUCCCCUCUACUCUUAUCUGUCUGGUCGAGUCAUUUGGGUCCAAGUGGGCACCAUUGUGGGAGGGUGGGAGGACUCAUCACUGGGGGCCCAGGCAUCAUUGGCAUGUGGCCUCCUGUGUUAGUUUGUUCUCAUGCUGCAAAUAAAGACAACUUGAGACUGGAUAAUUUA